Molecule: transfer RNA, 72 nt
Filed under: Bos taurus (domestic cattle)
Lineage: Eukaryota; Metazoa; Chordata; Mammalia; Artiodactyla; Bovidae
Also listed under: 3 other names
Rfam family: tRNA
About the family: Transfer RNA (tRNA) molecules are approximately 80 nucleotides in length.
Source: Rfam by way of RNAcentral
UCCCUGGUGGCUCAGACGGUAAAGAAUCUGCCUGCAAUGCAGGAGACCCAGGUUUGAUCCCUGGGUAGGGAA